Non-coding RNA from Paramisgurnus dabryanus, 1018 nucleotides. The record is from RefSeq and is a predicted model, not a curated record. NCBI's taxonomy places the organism in Eukaryota, Metazoa, Chordata, Actinopteri, Cypriniformes, Cobitidae.
UUGUGUCUAGCUGCCCUGCACUCUAUGGAAAAACAUUUACUGUGUACAAUGUGCAUGCCCUGUUACACAUCCAUGAAGAUGUCUCUCAUUUCAGGUGCUCUUUAAAUGACAUAUGUUGCUUUCCAUAUGAGAAUUAUUUGCAGCAGAUCAAAAGAUUGGUCAGGACUGGCCAAAAUCCAUUAGCGCAGGUGUCCAAACGCCUGGUCGAAAUCGAACAUGCCCAAGGGAAUUUCAGUGCACAGCCUGAGGCGAAGCCCCAAAUGUACAUUUCAACAAAAAGGAGAGAUAGCUGCUUCCUUAUGGAAGAUGAGAGGUUUGCUUUUCUUCAGGAGAGGAGGGGAGAUGGGACGGUUGUUUGCGAUGUGAUAAAACAGAGACACACUGUUGACCUGUUUGACAAACCAUGUCCGUCAAAGCUCUUGGACAUUGCUUAUAUAAGGAAUGGCCGUAGAUUCCAAAGAAAAGAAAUCAAGGAAAAAGACCUUGGACAAAAUGUAGCCUGUCUAGCUUUCAACAAUGGCUAUGUCAUGAUUCCUCUACGGCAUGGUAUUGAAUAUUCAUGUUGAAGAUUGGCCAGUCAAAAAGUUAUGCAUUUUGUCAGAGCCGUUUGGAAUGAAAAUGGGAUAGAAAUGGAGGGGACCAUCCCUGAUGCCUGGGUUAAUGUAGCUGAGAAAACCCUUCGGUGGCCAAAGACGAGGGCAAAAUAUUGUUUUGAAAACCAUGUGGCCCCUAAGGAGGACUGGGAAACUUUCCCAUUGUUAAAAGUGAAAUUUACUUCAGUCUCCAUGAGUGUGAGGAAUAAGAUCAAACUAGCCAUGCUGAACAAUGUGAAGAUGAAGACGAAGAGGUUGUAGUGCAAAAUAGGAUGAAAAAAACUAAAACUUUUGAAGAUUUUGUUGAAGGAUCUGACUUGUCUGAUGCGACUGCUGAGGGGGAGAAUAAAGAAGUGGGGAAAGGAGAUGCCAGUCCUAAAAUUCCGGUCUUUCCCACCCCACCAAUGAAAAUAUCAAAUAAUGGU